RNAcentral lists this ribosomal RNA (253 nucleotides) under uncultured bacterium. RNAcentral describes it as "partial 16S ribosomal RNA". It matches the Rfam family "Bacterial small subunit ribosomal RNA", at positions 524 to 776 of the family's 1533-position model. The record is from RNAcentral.
UACGAAGGGGGCUAGCGUUGCUCGGAAUCACUGGGCGUAAAGCGCACGUAGGCGGAUUCUUAAGUCAGGGGUGAAAUCCUGGAGCUCAACUCCAGAACUGCCUUUGAUACUGGGAGUCUCGAGUUCGGGAGAGGUGAGUGGAACUGCGAGUGUAGAGGUGAAAUUCGUAGAUAUUCGCAAGAACACCAGUGGCGAAGGCGGCUCACUGGCCCGAUACUGACGCUGAGGUGCGAAAGCGUGGGGAGCAAACAGG